GCGUAUCAAACCUGCCUCAUACUCGGGGAUAGCCUUGCGAAAGUAAGAUUAAUACCCGAUGUUGUUAUGUUUCCGCAUGGUGAUAUAACCAAAGAUUUAUCGGUAUGAGAUGGUGAUGCGUCCGAUUAGGUAGUAGGCGGGGUAACGGCCCACCUAGCCUUCGAUCGGUAGGGGUUCUGAGAGGAAGGUCCCCCACACUGGAACUGAGACACGGUCCAGACUCCUACGGGAGGCAGCAGUGAGGAAUAUUGGUCAAUGGACGGAAGUCUGAACCAGCCAAGUAGCGUGCAGGAUGACGGCCCUCUGGGUUGUAAACUGCUUUUAGUUGGGAAUAAAAAAGAGGACGUGUCCUCUAUUGUAUGUACCUUCAGAGAAAGGACCGGCUAAUUCCGUGCCAGCAGCCGCGGUAAUACGGAAGGUCCAGGCGUUAUCCGGAUUUAUUGGGUUUAAAGGGAGCGUAGGCGGAUUAUUAAGUCAGUGGUGAAAGACGGUGGCUCAACCAUCGUUAGCCAUUGAAACUGGUAGUCUUGAGUGCAGACAGGGAUGCUGGAACUCGUGGUGUAGCGGUGAAAUGCUUAGAUAUCACGAUGAACUCCGAUCGCGAAGGCAGGUGUCCGGGCUGCAACUGACGCUGAGGCUCGAAAGUGUGGGUAUCAAACAGGAUUAGAUACCCUGGUAGUCCACACAGUAAACGAUGUAUACUCGCGGUUUGCG
RNAcentral lists this ribosomal RNA (714 nucleotides) under uncultured Prevotellaceae bacterium. RNAcentral describes it as "bacterial SSU rRNA". It matches the Rfam family "Bacterial small subunit ribosomal RNA", at positions 115 to 828 of the family's 1533-position model. Lineage: Bacteria; Pseudomonadati; Bacteroidota; Bacteroidia; Bacteroidales; Prevotellaceae. The record is from RNAcentral.